UACGAACCGUCCAACCGUUAUUCGGAAUUACUGGGCUUAAAGGGUGCGUAGGCGGCGCGGAAAGUUGGGUGUGAAAUCCCUCGGCUCAACCGAGGAACUGCGCCCAAUACUACCGUGCUUGAGGGAGAUAGAGGUGAGCGGAACUUAGGGUGGAGCGGUGAAAUGCGUUGAUAUCCUAAGGAACACCGGUGGCGAAAGCGGCUCACUGGAUCUCUUCUGACGCUGAGGCACGAAAGCUAGGGUAGCGAACGGG
RNAcentral lists this ribosomal RNA (253 nucleotides) under uncultured bacterium. Its description in RNAcentral is "partial 16S ribosomal RNA". It matches the Rfam family "Bacterial small subunit ribosomal RNA", at positions 524 to 776 of the family's 1533-position model. The record is from RNAcentral.